UUUUUUUUUUUUUUUCCUUUAACUCAAGUAUUAUGGUGUCACUAAGAGUCCCAAUUACUCCACCAAACCCACUCGAGUAUGCACCUUUAAGAGUCACACUAGAGCCAUCACGUGUACCAAGAGUUCCUACUUCAUCGGUUUGCUCUUCUCUAGAAAAGUGCCUUCCUACUCCAUUGGGCCUACUAGGAGCCUCCUGACUCUUCCAUCCACGUGUCAGAGCACCACGAGAAUCACUAAACACUGUUUCCAUACUCGUCCCUUAUCGAACCAUCGGCUUUGAUACUACUUGUUAGAGAUUUGGAGAGCCCAAAGCGCCUGAGGAGAAUCCUUCUAGAUGGGUCUUAUGAAAGAACACACUCAUGGAGUUGACACCAUAUCCAACCCAAACCUUAAGGCAAUGGUUCUAUGGGUCCUUCCCACUUACAUGUCUCUUGCUCAUCUCAUAUUUUUCCGAUGUGGGAAUUCUACAUUUGUAUA
This 477-nucleotide unclassified non-coding RNA is filed under the name Hevea brasiliensis (rubber tree). The record is from RNAcentral. Lineage: Eukaryota; Viridiplantae; Streptophyta; Magnoliopsida; Malpighiales; Euphorbiaceae.